GAUGAACGCUGGCGGCGUGCCUAAUACAUGCAAGUCGAGCGAACAGACGAGGAGCUUGCUCCUCUGACGUUAGCGGCGGACGGGUGAGUAACACGUGGAUAACCUACCUAUAAGACUGGGAUAACUUCGGGAAACCGGAGCUAAUACCGGAUAACAUAUUGAACCGCAUGGUUCAAUAGUGAAAGACGGUCUUGCUGUCACUUAUAGAUGGAUCCGCGCCGCAUUAGCUAGUUGGUAAGGUAACGGCUUACCAAGGCAACGAUGCGUAGCCGACCUGAGAGGGUGAUCGGCCACACUGGAACUGAGACACGGUCCAGAGUCCUACGGGAGGCAGCAGUAGGGAAUCUUCCGCAAUGGGCGAAAGCCUGACGGAGCAACGCCGCGUGAGUGAUGAAGGUCUUCGGAUCGUAAAACUCUGUUAUUAGGGAAGAACAAAUGUGUAAGUAACUAUGCACGUCUUGACGGUACCUAAUCAGAAAGCCACGGCUAACUACGUG
This 497-nucleotide ribosomal RNA is filed under the name uncultured bacterium. RNAcentral's name for it is "partial 16S ribosomal RNA". It matches the Rfam family "Bacterial small subunit ribosomal RNA", at positions 28 to 507 of the family's 1533-position model. The record is from RNAcentral.